Molecule: ribosomal RNA, 463 nt
Filed under: uncultured bacterium
Lineage: Bacteria
Description: bacterial SSU rRNA
Rfam family: Bacterial small subunit ribosomal RNA
Source: RNAcentral
GACGACGCUGGCGGCGCGCCUAACACAUGCAAGUCGAACGGAGUUUCCCCUUCGGGGGAGCUUAGUGGCGGACGGGUGAGUAACACGUGAGGAACCUGCCUUUCAGAGGGGGAUAACGUAUGGAAACGUACGCUAAUACCGCAUGACAUAUAUUUGCCGCAUGGCAGAUAUAUCAAAGGAGCAAUCCGCUGAGAGAUGGGCUCGCGUCCGAUUAGAUAGUUGGUGGGGUAACGGCCUACCAAGUCAGCGAUCGGUAGCCGGACUGAGAGGUUGAACGGCCACAUUGGGACUGAGACACGGCCCAGACUCCUACGGGAGGCAGCAGUGGGGGAUAUUGCACAAUGGGCGAAAGCCUGAUGCAGCAACGCCGCGUGAGGGAAGACGGUUUUCGGAUUGUAAACCUCUGUCUUUGGUGACGAAACAAAUGACGGUAGCCAAGGAGGAAGCCACGGCUAACUACGUG